UCCAAUAAUAUUUUAGAUGGUUUCGAGCCGCUGAGUAUGCGUCUGGAAUGAAAAGGGAAUACGGUGAGGAGGAGCGAAUACGCGCCGAAUCCGUAACUGCCCCCGCAACUGUGAGCGGUGAGUGACCCCGAUGAACACCACUGAGCCUGUCGGGCUUGGGAAGGUUCGGGGAAGCGCUGAUCCGCAAGUCAGGAGACCUGCCAUCAUCGCGACGCCUUC
RNAcentral lists this non-coding RNA (219 nucleotides) under Octadecabacter antarcticus. The record is from RNAcentral. Lineage: Bacteria; Pseudomonadati; Pseudomonadota; Alphaproteobacteria; Rhodobacterales; Roseobacteraceae.